Molecule: transfer RNA, 85 nt
Filed under: Felis catus (domestic cat)
Lineage: Eukaryota; Metazoa; Chordata; Mammalia; Carnivora; Felidae
Rfam family: tRNA
About the family: Transfer RNA (tRNA) molecules are approximately 80 nucleotides in length. Their secondary structure includes four short double-helical elements and three loops (D, anti-codon, and T loops).
Source: Rfam by way of RNAcentral
ACCUGAGUGGCUCAGUUGGUUGAGUGUCUGACUUUGGCUCAGGUCAGGAUCUCACAGUUUGUGAGUUCAAGCCCCACUUCAGGCU